Molecule: non-coding RNA, 462 nt
Filed under: Pongo abelii (Sumatran orangutan)
Lineage: Eukaryota; Metazoa; Chordata; Mammalia; Primates; Hominidae
Source: RNAcentral
ACCGCACCGCACACUCAGCGGAGGCGCGCGCCCCGCGGCGACCGGAGGAUGUCCCCUAAACUGCUCCAAUUCACAAACAAAGGUGUUCAAAGGCAAGAAGGUAUUGUCACCAGGGAAGCCUAUGAACAGAAAGAACUCCUGAGACUACACCUGCUUUUAAUUUGGUGUCAGUAGGAAUGAUGGAGAUGAAAACCUCAUCAAGACCAGCAUGGAUUUGGGAAUCACCAAUAGAGUCAACCCCUCACUCUAAGAUGAGGAAACUAAGGCCCCCUAAGGUGAACUGUGAACUGAAUUGAUGAAAGCUGGGAUCAAAGCCCAGAUCUCUGGGCUCCUUGUCUGGUAUUUAUCUUCCCUGCUUUCUUCAUAAUUAAAUUCAGUGUAAUGACCCAGACAUAGAGCAAGAUCCUGGAGUGUCUUCUUAAUCAUCAAAUAUUGUCCUCUAUAAAGUUAUAAUGUUUAGUG